Molecule: non-coding RNA, 135 nt
Organism: Triticum aestivum (bread wheat)
Lineage: Eukaryota; Viridiplantae; Streptophyta; Magnoliopsida; Poales; Poaceae
Source: Rfam
UUUCUACUCCUUCCGUCCGAAAAUACUUGUCAUCAAAAUGGAUAAAAAGAGAUGUAUCUAAAACUAAAAUACCUCUAGAUACAUUUCCUUUUAUCCAUUUUGAUGACAAGUAUUUCCGGACAGAGGGAGUAUUUG